Molecule: ribosomal RNA, 1237 nt
Filed under: metagenome
Description: bacterial LSU rRNA
Rfam family: Bacterial large subunit ribosomal RNA
Source: RNAcentral
UGAGUACGAGAUGCUACGGCAUCGAAGCAGUCUAUGUCAUACUUCCAAGAAAAGCUUGCAAUGUCAUAAACAAAUAAUGCCUGUACCAUAACCGACACAGGUGGGUAGGUAGAGUAUACUAAGGGGCGCGAGAUAACUCUCUCUAAGGAACUCGGCAAAAUGACUCCGUAACUUCGGGAGAAGGAGUGCCUUAUUUUUAUAAGGUUGCAAUAACAAGAUCCAAGCAACUGUUUACCAAAAACACAGGUCUCCGCUAAGUCGUAAGACGAUGUAUGGGGGCUGACGCCUGCCCAGUGCCAGAAGGUUAAAGAAGUUGGUUAGCAUUAGCGAAGCUGAUAACUGAAGCCCUGGUGAACGGCGGCCGUAACGAUAACGGUCCUAAGGUAGCGAAAUUCCUUGUCGGGUAAGUUCCGACCCGCACGUAAGGCGUAAUGAUUUGGAUACUGUCUCGGAGAGGGGCUCGGUGAAAUAGACUUGUCUGUGAAGAUGCGGACUACCUGCACCUGGACAGAAAGACCCUAUGAAGCUUUACUGUAACUUGAGAUUGAAAUUGGACUUUAUCUGCGCAGUAUAGGUGGGAGACGUUGAAAAUAUUCUUGCGGGAAUAUUGGAGUCAUCAGUGAGAUACCACUCUUAUAAUGUUAGAUUUCUAACUUUGUAUCAUUAUCUGGUCAAAGAACAGUUUCAGGCGGGCAGUUUGACUGGGGCGGUCGCCUCCCAAACGGUAACGGAGGCGCACAAAGGUUUCCUCUGAACGUGUAGAAAUCGUAUCUAGAGUGUAAAGGCAUAAGGAAGCUUGACUGUGAGACCUACAAGUCGAGCAGGGACGAAAGUCGGUCUUAGUGAUCUGACGGUGCUGAGUGGAAAGGCCGUCACUCAACGGAUAAAAGUUACUCUAAGGAUAACAGGCUGAUCUCCCCCAAGAGUUCACAUCGACGGGGAGGUUUGGCACCUCGAUGUCGGCUCAUCGCAUCCUGGGGCGGUAGUACGUCCCAAGGGUUGGGCUGUUCGCCCAUGAAAGCGGUACGCGAGCUGGGUUCAGAACGUCGUGAGACAGUUCGGUCCAUAUCCGGUGUAGGCGUUAGAAUAUUGAGAGGAGCCUUCUUUAGUACGAGAGGACCGAGAAGGACAUACCUCUGGUGUACCAGUUGUCGUGCCAACGGUAAACGCUGGGUAGCCAUGUAUGGAGAGGAUAACCGCUGAAAGCAUCUAAGUGGGAAGCCCACCUCAAGAUAAG